This 545-nucleotide ribosomal RNA is filed under the name uncultured bacterium. RNAcentral describes it as "bacterial SSU rRNA". It matches the Rfam family "Bacterial small subunit ribosomal RNA", at positions 776 to 1311 of the family's 1533-position model. The record is from RNAcentral.
AAAUAGAUACCCGGGUAGUCCACGCCGUAAACGAUGAGUGCUAAGUGUUAGAGGGUUUCCGCCCUUUAGUGCUGCAGCUAACGCAUUAAGCACUCCGCCUGGGGAGUACGGCCGCAAGGCUGAAACUCAAAGGAAUUGACGGGGGCCCGCACAAGCGGUGGAGCAUGUGGUUUAAUUCGAAGCAACGCGAAGAACCUUACCAGGUCUUGACAUCCUCUGCCAACCCUAGAGAUAGGGCGUUCCCCCUUCGGGGGACAGAGUGACAGGUGGUGCACGGUUGUCGUCAGCUCGUGUCGUGAGAUGUUGGGUUAAGUCCCGCAACGAGCGCAACCCUUGAUCUUAGUUGCCAGCAUUCAGUUGGGCACUCUAAGGUGACUGCCGGUGACAAACCGGAGGAAGGUGGGGAUGACGUCAAAUCAUCAUGCCCCUUAUGACCUGGGCUACACACGUGCUAACAAUGGAUGGUACAAAGACGCUGCGAACCCGCGAGGGUAAGCCAAUCGUCAAUAAACGCCUAUUCUCGAGUUCGGAUUGUACGCUGAACC